RNAcentral lists this ribosomal RNA (253 nucleotides) under uncultured bacterium. Its description in RNAcentral is "partial 16S ribosomal RNA". It matches the Rfam family "Bacterial small subunit ribosomal RNA", at positions 524 to 776 of the family's 1533-position model. The record is from RNAcentral.
UACAGAGGGGGCAAGCGUUGUUCGGAAUUACUGGGCGUAAAGGGCGCGUAGGCGGCCCGCUAAGUCGAACGUGAAAUCCCCGAGCUCAACUCGGGAACUGCGUCCGAUACUGGCGGGCUUGAAUCCGGGAGAGGGAUGCGGAAUUCCAGGUGUAGCGGUGAAAUGCGUAGAUAUCUGGAGGAAUACCGGUGGCGAAGGCGGCAUCCUGGACCGACAUUGACGCUGAGGCGCGAAAGCCAGGGGAGCAAACGGG